CCUACGGGAGGCAGCAGUCGGGAAUAUUGCGCAAUGGAGGAAACUCUGACGCAGCGACGCCGCGUAUAGGAAGAAGGUUUUCGGAGUGUAAACUAUUGUCGUUAGGGAAGAGAAAAGACUGUACCGAAGGAGGAAGCCCCGGCGAACUAGGUGCCAGCAGCCGCGGUAAGACGUAGGGAGCGAGCGUGGUCCGGAAUUACGGGGUGUAAGGGGAGCGUCGGCGGGGAUGCAAGUUGGGUGUCAAAACUACCGGCUCAACUGGUAGUCGCACUCAAAACUGCAGCUCUUGAGUGAAGUAGAGGCAGGCGGAAUUCCUAGUGUAGCGGUGAAAUGCGUAGAUAUUAGGAGGAACACCAGUGGCGAAGGCGGCCUGCUGGGCUUUUACUGACGCUGCGGCUCGAAAGUGUGGGGAGCAAACAGGAUUAGAUACCCCGGUAGUC
RNAcentral lists this ribosomal RNA (440 nucleotides) under uncultured bacterium. Its description in RNAcentral is "partial 16S ribosomal RNA". It matches the Rfam family "Bacterial small subunit ribosomal RNA", at positions 338 to 795 of the family's 1533-position model. The record is from RNAcentral.